GACGAACGCUGGCGGCGUGCCUAAUACAUGCAAGUUGAGCGCUGAAGGUUGGUACUUGUACCAACUGGAUGAGCAGCGAACGGGUGAGUAACGCGUGGGGAAUCUGCCUUUGAGCGGGGGACAACAUUUGGAAACGAAUGCUAAUACCGCAUAAAAACUUUAAACACAAGUUUUAAGUUUGAAAGAUGCAAUUGCAUCACUCAAAGAUGAUCCAGCGUGGUAUUAGCUAGUUGGUGAGGUAAAGGCUCACCAAGGCGAUGAUACAUAGCCGACCUGAGAGGGUGAUCGGCCACAUUGGGACUGAGACACGGCCCAAACUCCUACGGGAGGCAGCAGUAGGGAAUCUUCGGCAAGGGACGAAAGUCUGACCGAGCAACGCCGCGUGAGUGAAGAAGGUUUUCGGAUCGUAAAACUCUGUUGGUAGAGAAGAACGUUGGUGAGAGUGGAAAGCUCAUCAAGUGACGGUAACUACCCAGAAAGGGACGGCUAACUACGUG
Molecule: ribosomal RNA, 497 nt
Filed under: uncultured bacterium
Lineage: Bacteria
Description: partial 16S ribosomal RNA
Rfam family: Bacterial small subunit ribosomal RNA
Source: RNAcentral